This 69-nucleotide transfer RNA is filed under the name Ictidomys tridecemlineatus (thirteen-lined ground squirrel). RNAcentral describes it as "Spermophilus tridecemlineatus (thirteen-lined ground squirrel) tRNA". It matches the Rfam family "tRNA". From Rfam's summary of the family: Transfer RNA (tRNA) molecules are approximately 80 nucleotides in length. Lineage: Eukaryota; Metazoa; Chordata; Mammalia; Rodentia; Sciuridae. The record is from Rfam by way of RNAcentral.
GGGGUUGUGGCUCAGAGGUAGAGCACUUGCCUAGCAUGCAUGAGGAACUGGGUUUGAUCCUCAGCACCA